CCUACGGGAGGCAGCAGUGAGGAAUAUUGGUCAAUGGACGAGAGUCUGAACCAGCCAAGUAGCGUGAAGGAUGACUGCCCUAUGGGUUGUAAACUUCUUUUGUCAAGGGACAAAAUCAGGCUCGAGAGCCUGACCGAGGGUACUUGAAGAAAAAGCAUCGGCUAACUCCGUGCCAGCAGCCGCGGUAAUACGGAGGAUGCGAGCGUUAUCCGGAUUUAUUGGGGUUAAAGGGUGCGUAGGCGGGCUGUUAAGUCAGCGGUAAAAGCCCGGGGCUCAACCCCGGCGAGCCGUUGAAACUGGCUGUCUUGAGAUGUCGAGAGGUAUGCGGAAUGCGCAGUGUAGCGGUGAAAUGCUUAGAUAUUGCGCAGAACUCCGAUUGCGAAGGCAGCAUACCGGCGGCGAUCUGACGCUGAGGCACGAAAGCGUGGGUAUCGAACAGGAUUAGAUACCCCUGUAGUC
This 459-nucleotide ribosomal RNA is filed under the name uncultured bacterium. Its description in RNAcentral is "partial 16S ribosomal RNA". It matches the Rfam family "Bacterial small subunit ribosomal RNA", at positions 338 to 795 of the family's 1533-position model. The record is from RNAcentral.